This 441-nucleotide ribosomal RNA is filed under the name uncultured bacterium. RNAcentral describes it as "partial 16S ribosomal RNA". It matches the Rfam family "Bacterial small subunit ribosomal RNA", at positions 338 to 795 of the family's 1533-position model. The record is from RNAcentral.
CCUACGGGGCGCAGCAGUGGGGAAUAUUGCACAAUGGGGGAAACCCUGAUGCAGCAACGCCGCGUGGGUGAAGGAGCGUUUCGGCGCGUAAAGCCCUGUCAGCUGGGAAGAAGAAAGACGGUACCCGACCACGACGCCCCGGCUAACCACGUGCCAGCAGCCGCGGUAAUACGUAGGGGGCGAGCGUUAUCCGGAAUUACUGGGUGUAAAGGGCGUGUAGGCGGGCUUGCAAGUCAGAUGUGAAAACUAUGGGCUCAACCCAUAGCCUGCAUUUGAAACUGUAGGUCUUGAGUGAUGGAGAGGCAGGCGGAAUUCCGUGGGUAGCGGUGAAAUGCGUAGAUAUACGGAGGAACACCAGUGGCGAAGGCGGCCUGCUGGACAUUAACUGACGCUGAGGCGCGAAAGCGUGGGGAGCAAACAGGAUUAGAUACCCCUGUAGUC